Molecule: ribosomal RNA, 378 nt
Filed under: uncultured eukaryote
Lineage: Eukaryota
Description: partial 18S ribosomal RNA
Rfam family: Eukaryotic small subunit ribosomal RNA
Source: RNAcentral
CAAUAGCGUAUAUUUAAGUUGUUGCAGUUAAAAAGCUCGUAGUUGGAUUUCGGGCGUGAACGACCGGUCCGUCUUUGAUGUGUACUGGUUGGUUGCGCCUUAUUGUCGAGGACGUGGUUCUAGCUUUCAUUAGCCGGGACACGGAGUCGGCAGCGUUACUUUGAGAAAAUUAGAGUGUUCAAAGCAGGCUAUCGCUCUGAAUACUACAGCAUGGAAUAACACGAUAGGACUCCGAGCCUAUUCUGUUGGUCUUCGGGACCGGAGUAAUGAUUAAGAGGGACAGUUGGGGGCAUUCGUAUUCCGAUGUCAGAGGUGAAAUUCUUGGAUUAUCGGAAGACGAACAUCUGCGAAAGCAUUUGCCAAGGAUGUUUUCAUUAA